This 105-nucleotide small nuclear RNA is filed under the name Mus pahari (shrew mouse). RNAcentral describes it as "predicted gene, 26099 (MGP_PahariEiJ_G0033879.1)". Lineage: Eukaryota; Metazoa; Chordata; Mammalia; Rodentia; Muridae. The record is from RNAcentral.
CCCUCAUUCUGCAGCACAAAUUCAAAAAUUAGAACAGUGCACCGAAGCUUGGCAUAUCUCUUGAGCAAGGAGGACAUGAAAAUGUCUGAAUCGAUCCAUGCAUUA